AGCAGUAGCCGCGGGAAUACGUAGGGUGCAAGUGUUAAUCGGAAUUACUGGGCGUAAAGCGUGCGCAGGCGGUGUUGUAAGACUGAUGUGAAAUCCCCGGGCUCAACCUGGGAACUGCAUUGGUGACUGCAACGCUGGAGUGCGGCAGAGGGGGAUGGAAUUCCGCGUGUAGCAGUGAAAUGCGUAGAUAUGCGGAGGAACACCGAUGGCGAAGGCAAUCCCCUGGGCCUGCACUGACGCUCAUGCACGAAAGCGUGGGGAGCAAACAGGAUUAGAUACCCCCGUAGUCCCUGUCUCUUAUAC
Molecule: ribosomal RNA, 303 nt
Filed under: uncultured bacterium
Lineage: Bacteria
Description: partial 16S ribosomal RNA
Rfam family: Bacterial small subunit ribosomal RNA
Source: RNAcentral